AUUGAACGCUGGCGGCAGGCCUAGCACAUGCAAGUCGAGCGGAUGAAGGGAGCUUGCUCCUGAAUUCAGCGGCGGACGGGUGAGUAAUGCCUAGGAAUCUGCCUGGUAGUGGGGGAUAACGUCCGGAAACGGGCGCUAAUACCGCAUACGUCCUGAGGGAGAAAGUGGGGGAUCUUCGGACCUCACGCUAUCAGAUGAGCCUAGGUCGGAUUAGCUAGUUGGUGGGGUAAAGGCCUACCAAGGCGACGAUCCGUAACUGGUCUGAGAGGAUGAUCAGUCACACUGGAACUGAGACACGGUCCAGACUCCUACGGGAGGCAGCAGUGGGGAAUAUUGGACAAUGGGCGAAAGCCUGAUCCAGCCAUGCCGCGUGUGUGAAGAAGGUCUUCGGAUUGUAAAGCACUUUAAGUUGGGAGGAAGGGCAGUAAGUUAAGACCUUGCUGUUUUGACGUUACCAACAGAAUAAGCACCGGCUAACUUCGU
RNAcentral lists this ribosomal RNA (483 nucleotides) under uncultured bacterium. RNAcentral's name for it is "partial 16S ribosomal RNA". It matches the Rfam family "Bacterial small subunit ribosomal RNA", at positions 30 to 506 of the family's 1533-position model. The record is from RNAcentral.